Molecule: ribosomal RNA, 776 nt
Filed under: uncultured Neocallimastigales
Lineage: Eukaryota; Fungi; Neocallimastigomycota; Neocallimastigomycetes; Neocallimastigales
Description: partial large subunit ribosomal RNA
Rfam family: Eukaryotic large subunit ribosomal RNA
Source: RNAcentral
CGUCUAUAUACGUAUAGCAUAUCAAUAAGCGGAGGAAAAGAAACUAACAAGGAUUCCCUUAGUAACGGCGAGUGAAGCGGGAAGAGCUCAAAUUUGAAAUCUUCAAGGUUCUACCUUGACGAAUUGUAGUUUAUAAGAAGUGUUUUCUGUUAGGGAGUUUGGUAAAAGUUCUUUGGAAUAGGACAUCAUAGAGGGUGAGAAUCCCGUAUUUGACCAUUAUUUCCAGCUUUGUGAUACACUUUCAAAGAGUCGGAUUGUUUGGGAAUGCAGUCCAAAAUGGGUGGUAAAUUUCAUCUAAAGCUAAAUAUUGGCGAGAGACCGAUAGCGAACAAGUACCGUGAGGGAAAGAUGAAAAGAACUUUGAAAAGAGAGUUAAACAGUACGUGAAAUUGUCAAAAGGGAAGCGUUUGACACCAGUGUUGUUUUCUCGAAAAUCAAUUAAACGAAUGUUUAUUUUGAGUAGUUAUGACUUCAUCAGCUCUGCACUCUUUCUUGAUACUUUCUUAAUGCACUUUUCGUUUAACAAGUCAACAUCAAUUUCUUUUGUUGUAAAAGGGUCAUUGGAAGGUGGCUUUCUUUUCGGAGAAAGUGUUUAUAGCCUUUGGCCUCUGCAAUCGGAGAGAUUGAGGUCUGCAGCGUAGAUCCUUCGGGGUUAGAUACAUUUGUGCUAAGUUAUAGCCUUUCAUAGACAACUUGUUGACUAUGAUUCAGUCAUGUAGCUUACUCGCUUAUGCUAUUUUACCUACGCUUAGGAUGUUGACUGAUAUGUAGUCGUA